AAUGAACGUUGGCGGCGUGGAUUAGGCAUGCAAGUCGAGCGAGAAGGUUUAAAAAGAUACUUCGGUUGAUUUUUAAGCUGGAAAGCGGCGAAAGGGAGAGUAACGAGUAGAUACGUACCCAAGGGUUCGGAAUAGCUGCGGGAAACUGCAGGUAAUGCCGAAUAAUGUCUCCGGACCAAAGGUUUACUGCCCUUGGAGCGGUCUGCUUACUAUUAGCUUGUUGGUGGGGUAAAGGCCUACCAAGGCGAAGAUGGUUAGCGGGUGUGAGAGCAUGGCCCGUCUCACUGGGACUGAGACACUGCCCAGACACCUACGGGUGGCUGCAGUCGAGAAUCUUCCGCAAUGGACGAAAGUCUGACGGAGCGACGCCGCGUGAUGGACGAAGGCCCUCGGGUUGUAAACAUCUGUCGUAGGGGAGGAAAUUUUGACCGAUCCUAGGAGGAAGCACAGGCUAAGUUCGUGCCAGCCGCCGCCGUAACAC
Molecule: ribosomal RNA, 481 nt
Filed under: uncultured bacterium
Lineage: Bacteria
Description: bacterial SSU rRNA
Rfam family: Bacterial small subunit ribosomal RNA
Source: RNAcentral